AUCUGGCUGGCUCAGCUGGUAGAGCAUGUGACUCUUCAUCUCAGGGUCGUGAGUUCAAGUCCCACGUUGGGCA
Molecule: transfer RNA, 73 nt
Filed under: Ailuropoda melanoleuca (giant panda)
Lineage: Eukaryota; Metazoa; Chordata; Mammalia; Carnivora; Ursidae
Rfam family: tRNA
About the family: Transfer RNA (tRNA) molecules are approximately 80 nucleotides in length. Their secondary structure includes four short double-helical elements and three loops (D, anti-codon, and T loops). Further hydrogen bonds mediate the characteristic L-shaped molecular structure. tRNAs have two regions of fundamental functional importance: the anti-codon, which is responsible for specific mRNA codon recognition, and the 3' end, to which the tRNAs corresponding amino acid is attached (by aminoacyl-tRNA synthetases). tRNAs cope with the degeneracy of the genetic code in two manners: having more than one tRNA (with a specific anti-codon) for a particular amino acid; and 'wobble' base-pairing, i.e. permitting non-standard base-pairing at the 3rd anti-codon position.
Source: Rfam by way of RNAcentral